GAUGAAGAACGUAGUGAAAUGUGAUACUUGGUGUGAAUUGCAGAAUCCCGUGAACCAUCGAGUCUUUGAACGCAAGUUGCGCCCGAAGCCAUUAGGCCGAGGGCACGCCUGCCUGGGCGUCACACGUCGUUGCCCCCCCAUCUACUCCUUCGGGAUUGCGGGGGGCGGAUGAUGGCCUCCCGUGCGCCUCGUCGCGCGGUUGGCAUAAAUGCCAAGUCCUCGGCGACGCACGCCACGACAAUCGGUGGUUGCGAAACCUCGGUUGCCCGUCGUGUGCGGUCGUCGCGCAUCGAGGGCUCGAAAAAAUUGUCGGGCUCCGGCUCGGCUUUCAACGCGACCCCAGGUCAGGCGGGGUUACCCGCUGAAUUUAAGCAUAUCAAUAAGCGGAGGA
RNAcentral lists this unclassified non-coding RNA (391 nucleotides) under soil metagenome. RNAcentral describes it as "partial contains 5.8S ribosomal RNA, internal transcribed spacer 2, and large subunit ribosomal RNA". The stretch from base 1 to 122 matches the Rfam family "5.8S ribosomal RNA", at positions 35 to 154 of the family's 154-position model. The record is from RNAcentral.